UGCGUAGGCGGACAAAUAAGUCAGUGGUGAAAGACUUCGGCUCAACUGAAGAAUUGCCUUUGAUAUUGUUUGUCUUGAAUUAGGUUGAGGUCAGCGGAAUGUGACAUGUAGCGGUGAAAUGCAUAGAUAUGUCAUAGAACACCAAUUGCGAAGACAGCUGGCUAGGCCUGAAUUGACGCUGAGGCACGAAAGCGUGGGGAGCGAACAGGAUUAGAUACCCUGGUAGUCC
RNAcentral lists this ribosomal RNA (229 nucleotides) under uncultured bacterium. Its description in RNAcentral is "partial 16S ribosomal RNA". It matches the Rfam family "Bacterial small subunit ribosomal RNA", at positions 568 to 796 of the family's 1533-position model. The record is from RNAcentral.